UAGGGAAUCUUCGGCAAUGGGGGGAACCCUGACCGAGCAACGCCGCGUGAGUGAAGAAGGUUUUCGGAUCGUAAAGCUCUGUUGUAAGAGAAGAACGGGUGUGAGAGUGGGAAGUUCACACUGUGACGGUAUCUUACCAGAAAGGGACGGCUAACUACGUGCCAGCAGCCGCGGUAAUACGUAGGUCCCGAGCGUUGUCCGGAUUUAUUGGGCGUAAAGCGAGCGCAGGCGGUUAGAUAAGUCUGAAGUUAAAGGCUGUGGCUUAACCAUAGUAUGCUUUGGAAACUGUUUAACUUGAGUGCAGAAGGGGAGAGUGGAAUUCCAUGUGUAGCGGUGAAAUGCGUAGAUAUAUGGAGGAACACCGGUGGCGAAAGCGGCUCUCUGGUCUGUAACUGACGCUGAGGCUCGAAAGCGUGGGGAGCAAACA
Molecule: ribosomal RNA, 427 nt
Filed under: uncultured bacterium
Lineage: Bacteria
Description: partial 16S ribosomal RNA
Rfam family: Bacterial small subunit ribosomal RNA
Source: RNAcentral